Molecule: non-coding RNA, 489 nt
Organism: Cyclopterus lumpus (lumpfish)
Lineage: Eukaryota; Metazoa; Chordata; Actinopteri; Perciformes; Cyclopteridae
Source: the annotation of a RefSeq genome assembly
GAUUAUAUGCAAACUCAGUGACCUCCCCAGUUGCUCAGCUAUAAAAACAUCACAUCAGGCUGAACUUCACAUCUCUUCAGUUUCAACAUCAACCAUGUUCUCUGUAGCUCUGCUGCUGCUGUUGGCAGCUGGAUGUGUGAAGUGUGACACGUUGACACAGCCAGGCUCUGUGACUGUGCAGCCAGGUCAACGUCUGACCAUCUCCUGUCAGGUCUCUUAUGAUAUUAGCAGCUACUACACAGCGUGGAUCAGACAGCCUGCAGGGAAAGGACUGGAGUGGAUUGGAAUGAAACAUGGAGAUGGAACUUCAUACUACAAAGAGUCACUGAAGAACAAGUUCAGUAUCGACGUAGACUCUUCCAGCAAAACAGUGACUCUAAAUGGACAGACCAUGCAGCCUGAAGACACUGCUGUGUAUUACUGUGCCAGAAGGGGUGGGAAGUGACUAUGCUUUUGACUACUGGGGAAAAGGCACCAUGGUCACCGUCA